Molecule: ribosomal RNA, 653 nt
Filed under: Leeuwenhoekiella blandensis MED217
Lineage: Bacteria; Pseudomonadati; Bacteroidota; Flavobacteriia; Flavobacteriales; Flavobacteriaceae
Description: bacterial SSU rRNA
Rfam family: Bacterial small subunit ribosomal RNA
Source: RNAcentral
AUGAAGAGUUUGAUCCUGGCUCAGGAUGAACGCUAGCGGCAGGCCUAACACAUGCAAGUCGAACGGUAACAUAGGAAAGCUUGCUUUUCUGAUGACGAGUGGCGCACGGGUGCGUAACGCGUAUGCAAUCUACCUUGUACUGGAGUAUAGCCCAGGGAAACUUGGAUUAAUCCUCCAUAGUCUAUAUUAAUGGCAUCAUUUUAUAUAGUAAAGGUUACGGUACAAGAUGAGCAUGCGUCCUAUUAGCUAGUAGGUGUGGUAACGGCACACCUAGGCAACGAUAGGUAGGGGUCCUGAGAGGGAGAUCCCCCACACUGGUACUGAGACACGGACCAGACUCCUACGGGAGGCAGCAGUGAGGAAUAUUGGACAAUGGGCGCAAGCCUGAUCCAGCCAUGCCGCGUGCAGGAAGACUGCCCUAUGGGUUGUAAACUGCUUUUAUACGGGAAGAAUAAGUGUUACGUGUAGCACGAUGACGGUACCGUAAGAAUAAGCACCGGCUAACUCCGUGCCAGCAGCCGCGGUAAUACGGAGGGUGCAAGCGUUAUCCGGAAUCAUUGGGUUUAAAGGGUCCGUAGGUGGACUAAUAAGUCAGUGGUGAAAGUCUGCAGCUUAACUGUAGAAUUGCCAUUGAUACUGUUAGUCUUGAAUUG